AGCGAACGUUUGCGGCGGGCCUAACACAUGCAAGUCGAACGCACUAGCAAUAGUGAGUGGCGCACGGGUGCGUAACACGUGGGUAAUCAACCCUUCAGCUUGGGAUAACGACUUGAAAGGGUCGCUAAUACCGGAUACGGCGCGAGAGGCUUCGGCUUCUCACGAGAAAGCCUCGCAAGGGGCACUGAAGGACGAGCCUGCGGCCCAUCAGCUAGUUGGUGAGGUAAGAGCUCACCAAGGCUAAGACGGGUAGCUGGUCUGAGAGGAUGAUCAGCCACACUGGGACUGAGACACGGCCCAGACUCCUACGGGAGGCAG
RNAcentral lists this ribosomal RNA (318 nucleotides) under uncultured Pseudomonadota bacterium. RNAcentral describes it as "bacterial SSU rRNA". It matches the Rfam family "Bacterial small subunit ribosomal RNA", at positions 29 to 351 of the family's 1533-position model. Lineage: Bacteria; Pseudomonadati; Pseudomonadota. The record is from RNAcentral.